GGAUGUGAGGGCGAUCUGGCUGCGACAUCUGUCACCCCAUUGAUCGCCAGGGUUAAUUCGGCUGAUCUGGCUGGCUAGGUGGGUGUCCCCUUCCUCCCUCACCACUCCAUGUGCAUCCCUCCCGAAGCUGCGCGCUCGGUCGAAGAAGACAGCCUUCCCCGAAUAGAGACGGACCGGUCUUCGAUCGAGUAGCUGCACUCCCCUGCUAGAACCUCCAAACGAGCUCUCAAAUAUUACUGAAAGUCUUGGUCAGUAAAAGAAAUAAAAGGCAUUCAAAUUGGAAGGAAGAGAUAAAAAUAGCUCUGAUUGUAUGACAUAAUUU
Molecule: small nuclear RNA, 322 nt
Filed under: Sorex araneus (European shrew)
Lineage: Eukaryota; Metazoa; Chordata; Mammalia; Eulipotyphla; Soricidae
Description: 7SK RNA (ENSSARG00000015743.1)
Rfam family: 7SK RNA
About the family: 7SK was discovered as an abundant small nuclear RNA in the mid-70s but a possible function has only recently been suggested. Two independent studies have found that 7SK RNA binds the CDK9/cyclin T complex (known as elongation factor P-TEFb).
Source: RNAcentral